AAACGGGUGCGGAACACGUACAGAACCUACCUUACCUGGGGCAUAGCCCGGAGAAAUCCGGAUUAACUCCCCAUAACAUAUAUGAGUGGCAUCACUUGAAUAUUAAAAAUUUAUUGGGUAAAGAUGGCUGUGCGUCCCAUUAGCUAGUUGGUAGGGUAACGGCCUACCAAGGCAACGAUGGGUAGCUGGUGUGAGAGCACGACCAGCCACACGGGCACUGAGACACGGGCCCG
RNAcentral lists this ribosomal RNA (233 nucleotides) under uncultured bacterium. RNAcentral's name for it is "partial 16S ribosomal RNA". It matches the Rfam family "Bacterial small subunit ribosomal RNA", at positions 101 to 334 of the family's 1533-position model. The record is from RNAcentral.